This 465-nucleotide ribosomal RNA is filed under the name uncultured Klebsiella sp. Its description in RNAcentral is "bacterial SSU rRNA". It matches the Rfam family "Bacterial small subunit ribosomal RNA", at positions 338 to 795 of the family's 1533-position model. Lineage: Bacteria; Pseudomonadati; Pseudomonadota; Gammaproteobacteria; Enterobacterales; Enterobacteriaceae. The record is from RNAcentral.
CCUACGGGCGGCUGCAGUGGGGAAUAUUGCACAAUGGGCGCAAGCCUGAUGCAGCCAUGCCGCGUGUGUGAAGAAGGCCUUCGGGUUGUAAAGCACUUUCAGCAGGGAGGAAGGCGGUGAGGUUAAUAACCUCAUCGAUUGACGUUACCCGCAGAAGAAGCACCGGCUAACUCCGUGCCAGCAGCCGCGGUAAUACGGAGGGUGCAAGCGUUAAUCGGAAUUACUGGGCGUAAAGCGCACGCAGGCGGUCUGUCAAGUCGGAUGUGAAAUCCCCGGGCUCAACCUGGGAACUGCACUCGAAACUGGCAGGCUAGAGUCUUGUAGAGGGGGGUAGAACUCCAGGUGUAGCGGUGAAAUGCGUAGAGAUCUGGAGGAAUACCGGUGGCGAAGGCGGCCCCCUGGACAAAGACUGACGCUCAGGUGCGAAAGCGUGGGGAGCAAACAGGAUUAGAUACCCGUGUAGUC